This 624-nucleotide ribosomal RNA is filed under the name uncultured bacterium. RNAcentral's name for it is "bacterial SSU rRNA". It matches the Rfam family "Bacterial small subunit ribosomal RNA", at positions 24 to 655 of the family's 1533-position model. The record is from RNAcentral.
UCAGGACGAACGCUGGCGGCGUGCUUAACACAUGCAAGUCGGACGAUUUUUGUGGAUGCGGAUCUUUCGGGAGAAGCGUUCAUGGAGAUAGUGGCGGACGGGUGAGUAACGCGUGAAGUACCUGCCCUGGGGAGGGGGAUACCGUCUGGAAACGGACGUUAAUACCCCGUAAGCCGGGAGGUGAAAGGCCUGUAAGGGCUGCCCUGGGAGGGUUUCGCGUCCUAUCAGCUGGUUGGUGGGGUAACGGCUCACCAAGGCGAAGACGGGUAGCCGGUCUGAGAGGAUGGACGGCCACACUGGAACUGAGACACGGUCCAGACUCCUACGGGAGGCAGCAGUGGGGAAUAUUGGGCAAUGGGCGGAAGCCUGACCCAGCGACGCCGCGUGAGGGACGAAGGCCCUUGGGUUGUAAACCUCUGUUGUACGGGAAGAAGCGAGUGACGGUACCGUACGAGGAAGCCCCGGCAAACUACGUGCCAGCAGCCGCGGUAACACGUAGGGGGCGAGCGUUGUCCGGAAUUACUGGGCGUAAAGGGCACGCAGGCGGAUAUGUGUGUUUGUUGUGAAAUGCCAGGGCUCAACCCUGGAGUUGCGGCAGAAACUGCAUAUCUGGAGUACUGGAGA